RNAcentral lists this transfer RNA (84 nucleotides) under Humitalea rosea. RNAcentral's name for it is "Acetobacteraceae bacterium W37 tRNA". It matches the Rfam family "tRNA". From Rfam's summary of the family: Transfer RNA (tRNA) molecules are approximately 80 nucleotides in length. Their secondary structure includes four short double-helical elements and three loops (D, anti-codon, and T loops). Lineage: Bacteria; Pseudomonadati; Pseudomonadota; Alphaproteobacteria; Acetobacterales; Roseomonadaceae. The record is from Rfam by way of RNAcentral.
GCGGGCGUGCCGAAAUCGGUAGACGGAAGAGUCUUAAAAACUCUCGCCCCUCGGGGCAUGCGGGUUCAAGUCCCGCCGCCCGCA